Molecule: ribosomal RNA, 498 nt
Filed under: uncultured bacterium
Lineage: Bacteria
Description: partial 16S ribosomal RNA
Rfam family: Bacterial small subunit ribosomal RNA
Source: RNAcentral
UGGGAAUAUUGCACAUGGGCGAAAGCCUGAUGCAGCAACGCCGCGUGAGUGAUGAAGGCCUUCGGGGUUGUAAAGCUCUGUCUUUUGGGACGAUAAUGACGGUACCAAAGGAGGAAGCCACGGCUAACUACGUGCCAGCAGCCGCGGUAAUACGUAGGUGGCAAGCGUUGUCCGGAUUUACUGGGCGUAAAGGAUGCGUAGGCGGAUUUUUAAGUGAGAUGUGAAAUACCCGGGCUUAACUUGGGUGCUGCAUUUCAAACUGGGAAUCUAGAGUGCGGGAGAGGAGAAUGGAAUUCCUAGUGUAGCGGUGAAAUGCGUAGAGAUUAGGAAGAACACCAGUGGCGAAGGCGAUUCUCUGGACCGUAACUGACGCUGAGGCAUGAAAAGCGUGGGUAGCAAACAGGAUUAGAUACCCUGGUAGUCCACGCCGUAAACGAUGAGUACUAGGUGUAGGAGGUAUCGACCCCCUUCUGUGCCGCAGUUAACACAAUAAGUACU